GAUGAAGAACGUAGUGAAAUGCGAUAAGUAAUGUGAAUUGCAGAAUUCAGUGAAUCAUCGAAUCUUUGAACGCACAUUGCGCCCGCCAGUAUUCUGGCGGGCAUGCCUGUUCGAGCGUCAUUACAACCCUCAGGCCCCCGGGCCUGGCGUUGGGGAUCGGCGGAGCCCCCCGUGGGCACACGCCGUCCCCCAAAUACAGUGGCGGUCCCGCCGCAGCUUCAUCGCGUAGUAGCUAACACCUCGCGACUGGAGAGCGGCGCGGCCACGCCGUAAAACACCCAACUCUUCUGAAGUUGACCUCGAAUCAGGUAGGAAUACCCGCUGAACUUAAGCAUAUCAAUAAGCGGAGGA
This 351-nucleotide unclassified non-coding RNA is filed under the name soil metagenome. Its description in RNAcentral is "partial contains 5.8S ribosomal RNA, internal transcribed spacer 2, and large subunit ribosomal RNA". The stretch from base 1 to 120 matches the Rfam family "5.8S ribosomal RNA", at positions 35 to 154 of the family's 154-position model. The record is from RNAcentral.